GGAAGAACGUAGCGAAAUGCGAUAAGUAAUGUGAAUUGCAGAAUUCAGUGAAUCAUCGAAUCUUUGAACGCACAUUGCGCCCAUUAGUAUUCUAGUGGGCAUGCCUGUUCGAGCGUCAUUAAGUCCACUUAAGCCCUGCUUAGUGUUGGGAGACUGCUCCAGCGGUGCUACCCUGUAGCUACCCUGCAGCUCCUCAAAGACAGCGGCGGAGUUGUGGUAUCCUCUGAGCUUAGUAACUUGUUCUAGCUUUCGAGUACACCACUUCCCCUGCCGUAAAACCCUUAAUUUUUAAUGGUUGACCUCGGAUCAGGUAGGAAUACCCGCUGAACUUAAGCAUAUCAAUAAGCGGAGGA
This 353-nucleotide unclassified non-coding RNA is filed under the name soil metagenome. RNAcentral's name for it is "partial contains 5.8S ribosomal RNA, internal transcribed spacer 2, and large subunit ribosomal RNA". The stretch from base 2 to 118 matches the Rfam family "5.8S ribosomal RNA", at positions 38 to 154 of the family's 154-position model. The record is from RNAcentral.